This is a long non-coding RNA of Centrocercus urophasianus (Greater sage-grouse), 3258 nucleotides long. RefSeq lists it as uncharacterized. The transcript is spliced from 8 exons. The record is from RefSeq and is a predicted model, not a curated record. NCBI's taxonomy places the organism in Eukaryota, Metazoa, Chordata, Aves, Galliformes, Phasianidae.
GGUCUUAUUACCGUGUUGGAUUCUCUCCUAUGCUUACUGCAGCAGUGAAAAGAGGAGACUGGUUCUGUUCAUUUCCCAAAUCAGUGCAAUAUGGUAUCCACCUUUAGAUGAUGCUUAGGAAAAAGUAAACUGCUGCCUUACUUUACUGCUGCAUCUCAAAUGUGCAAAAAUGCUACAUCUUGCGUAUUUGAGUGGCUCUGAAUUCAAAAUGGGCUGAUAAAACAAAUUAACUGAACUGAUGAGAUAGAGUAGGAGGUCACUGUGGUGGGGCUGUGGCUCUGGCUUGCUUGCUCACUGCAGUUCUGACAUUUCUCCCAAAAUCUGAGACCAAACUUCUGGCUGGGGAUGGAAUCAAUGCAAAAUUUUUGAGGAAAGUGUCAGUGCUGUAAGGCACACCUUGUUAUAGCAGUCCUGUGGUAUUGUGUUGGACCAGGGUGAUGGGCUGUGGCACGUAUUUCCUUCCCUUUUCCUCCCUCCAGAACUAAUGUUGCAGGUAAUUAAACUAUGUUGUCAAAUAUAGAGCUAGUUAUGCAUCUCAUUAAUCAGAUCCAGACUUCUGUGUUUUGCAGUUGAAUGUAACUUCCUUUGAGCUUGGCUGGAACAGAGACUGGAACAGAUUAUCUUUAUUUUGGAAAUCCAUGUCUGAGUUAUAUAAAAAUGAGGGAAAUAAAUCUGAGGCCAGCAUAGAAGGAUGCUGCUUAUCUAUGCAGUGUCUUCAAGUUAGUCCUUAGAAGAGUUGUAACAAAUGCAGUGCUUUGUAAGAGAGAAAAGAUGUCUCCUUUCUUUCAGUUUUGACAUCGUAAGAAAAAUUACAAUUAAUCCUGCUAGCCAAAUGUAGCUUGUCAUUUGUCUGUGCUUUUGCCCUUGUAUUUACUUAAGUACAGAAGAGAGUAAAAAGGAUUUAGGAUAAUUGAAGAGAGGAGACAAGGAAACUGAAAAUUUCUUGAGUAAAAAAUUGCAGUGUGCUUUCUUUACAUAGGAUGUGACAUUGAGAGCUGCUUUUUGUAUGAAUUGGGUACAAUUUUUUUGUUUGUUUGUUAUCAGAUAUCAGCAUAUUUUAUUUUACUUUUUUUUUUAUGUCUUGCAGAGCUUCUGUUUUCAUUCUUUACUAAUCUUUCCUGAGACUACCACCCAUCAAAAUUGUAACCAAGAACAUUUAACUAUUUUACAGAGGUAAACAUGAAGGCUAAGUGGAGUUUAAGCUUAAUUGUCUUGUUUCUUAGUUACAGCAGCUGCUGGUCACUUACUGUAUGGAUUCUCAGCAAUGGAUGUAUACAGAUACCCUGCAUGUGUGCCUGAGAUCAGAGAGCAAAAUUCUGCGAACACAGAUUGGAUUUCUGUACUCACAUCUCAGAUACCCUCUAAUGAGGUUGUGAAGCCAGAGUAGAGAUUCAUCGCAUACCUCCAAACACAACUGGCAACAAUAAGGACAAGGACAACUUCAGCUCAAAUGUGGACACCUACGAAGCGGUGGCAAGGAAGAGUCCGAAAAAGCAUGGUAAGGGGAGAGAUGACCAGUGGCUACCAUACACUCAUGGGGAACCCAGCUGCCCAGAUGGGUUGUGUAGUCCUGCGGAGGAAAAUCCUGUGCCUUGAAGAGAACGUAUACCAACUACCCCUUUGGUAGCUCUAUUAAAAGAUGUCUUUUUCACGUGCAUGCAGUUAUAUUUUAACCCUCCAGUCUAUCUUUGAAGCUGUUAGUGCUCUGGAGAAACAUUAAAUGUUGAAGGCUGGCCUGCUGGUUUUGGCUGAAAUAGAGAGAAAUAUGCAACGCUCUGAGAAAUUCCAGGACUCCCACUAGGUCAAAAAUUUUCUCUCAACUGUAGCAUUUCAUCAAGUUCCCCUGGUAACGUGUCUCAAUGUAUCACAAUCAUGAUUGCUUGGAAAUCCACCAGCUCUGCAAUGAGCUGAGAAUAUUUAUUGCAAGUGCUAGAUGGCAUUCUCUUAGUAGAGAUCUGGUUAGUUAUUUCCAUACAUCCCAGUUUCAGAGUGAAUGUUUCAUUUAUCUUACUGUAUGUUACAUGCUUUGGAUUAGACAAAUUCAGUUAUGAGUAUGUAUCUGCUAUAUAUAUAUGUAAUUAAUUACAUUAUUAAUUAACCAGUCUGAACAUUUAAAUCGAAGCUAAAUCACAAGUUAACAAUUCUUUGGGAAGCUCUUGGUGUAAUUCAAAACACUGUGGAGAUCUUCAAAACCCCUGUGUUAGUCACCUUGUUAUAACCAGACUAAUUGGGAACUCUGUGAUACCGGCUUGUUUCAGCACAUCUAAUUUUUACAAGACCCACUUCAAGCUGAUCUUUUUAUGGAAUGUGAUUUUUAAUUUUCUUUUCCCAGGUAAAAAUAAAGAAAGCUUUACUUGAGGUUUGUGGUGCACCUGUUCUCUGCUCUAAAGCUGGCUGACAGCAUAGCUGAAAUCUCACAGCAGACAUUUCCUGGCUUUGGUACAGUGUUUUCGAGCAAGCUGCUAAAAGUGGUCUAGCAAGUUGUUAUUUCAGGAAUCAUUUUCAACUGAAGGAACAAUGUGAUUUGCAUAAAGAACCAAGAAACUCUUCUUUUGUUGCCACUCUGGUCUAAAGAUGUCAUUAAUAUAGUAAGUCUGUAGUAAGAUGAGCUGGUUAUUUCCUCUGGAGUCAGAGUAUGUUUAGUAUUUUUUGACUCUGUGAUGUGCUGAGUCUCCUAGACCCUUAUUCUAGGAUGCAUGUUUCAAGACCAUUUCAGGAGUCUUCACAGUGACCUGAUGUACUGUUUCUUCAUGAGAAACUUGGGAAGCAGAGGUGGCAUAUUUCAUAUUGUGGGCCUCCCAGCAUCAUCUCCACGUGGUCCCAUAUGCUCAUUCCUGUUGUACCAAGAACUUACCGAGUUUGUACGUCUUUCCUCAUGAAUCAGAUAAAUGCAUCUCCUCCACGAGCUGCCUAUUUUCUUGUAUACUGUGCAUCACUUCCCCUGCAGAUUGGAAAGAGGACUGUGAUUGUCUUGUAUGUCUAACUGAGGGAUGCCCGUGUGCUGCCAGGGAGCAAACCGGAUCCAUGCAGUGUGUGAGUGAAAGCCAGAUCUUGAAAAGAAAUGUCUUGGCUUCCAGAAAGGGACAUGGAACUCUUUAAAUGAUGCAUUUGAACUAUAAAUGUGCAUGUACAUUUCAAUAUGUAUUCCUUAAAUACGCAGAGCUUAUGUAAGCAUCAGAUUUGUAUGUUAUAGGUAAGUGAAAAUUUUAAUAUUUUGCAGGCAAUGGAAUAUGCACCUUUGUAUUAAGCUGGGUUUAU